UUUUGGUGUUAUCUUGAUAGAGCAUUUAUUUUAUUUAAUUUUAACUUGCUAAUCACAUUUCUAGUAUGCAUGCUAAAGUGAACAUAAGUAUCAUCACAAGUAUGUUCAGCUUAGCAAUAACAUAAAUAUUGAAAAAUUACAAUGUUUUGUUACAUUUAUGUGGUGCCACUGCCUAGCUACUUGCUAAGAAACUUCUGUGUUUUAACCAACAUGUUAUUUUGCAGAAAAGUUGGCAUCUAAUUUUUUAGCCAUUGAAAUGCCUUCCCUGGCUUGCUGUGGAAAAUGUCUUAAUUUAUGGUUUAAGAAGGAUCUGAUUAAUAUCUGACUAGUUGCACAUUUUACAUACCUUGUUUUCUAUGGUAUUUUAGAGUCCAAAGAAGGUCAACUUGGUUGCUGCUCUGGUUCGUGGUAUGCUUGUUAAAGAUGCAUCGAUGCUGUUGGAAUCGACAAUAAAACGAGCAGCAAAAACUGUAUAUCAGGUUAAAGAGUUCCAUAGAAGAGAUGGUUUUGAGGUAGCAAGUGCUGACAAGAUGGCUAAGUCAUGCAUGGUUUAUUUUGAAAUGCAUCUAUCCCUAAGGAAAAAAAUAAUUACAAAAGCUUUUAAUGGUAGUUAUAGUAUCUACAAGGAAACUUUUUGUAACCAGGUCUAUUGCCUUUUUGUUUGAGUGACUGGACAUGCAGGUACAAUAAUUGUUGUUGAAGAUGACAAGGGACCUGAAAGAGGAAUGCCGAGCUUCAAUUCUGAGUUACCCAAUUCCAAUUCAUGGGUUGAGGAUGUUACAAGAGUUUGGGAUCCUUGCUGACCAGUGACUAGGGUUGAGGAUUUUACCAAGAGUUGAAGACCGUUGCUACUAGAAUGUCAAGUUUUGUAGAAGGUACUAAGAUGUAGGCAUGCUAGAUCCUUAUUGCUUGACUGUUGACUAUCCAAGAAUUCUGGUAAUACUAAUUUCAUAUGGCUUAUACUCAUUUCAAGCUUUCUGGUAAUACUCAUUUCAUAAUGGCACUUAAAAUUUUUUCAGUUGGAUGGAAAGGCUACUUGUGUGUUACUGAUUUCAUAUGGCUUAUACUCAAUUGGAUGGAAAGGCUACUUAAAAUUUUUUGUUUUUCUACUCUACUCUAGGUCCAUUCUAGGUUUCUCUUUGACUCCUUGUUUGCUUUUGUGUGCUUUUCAUUGCUUUAAUUAUUGAAUAAUCCUUGAAAAUUUGUCUUGU
This is a long non-coding RNA of Glycine soja, 1211 nucleotides long. RefSeq lists it as uncharacterized. NCBI's taxonomy places the organism in Eukaryota, Viridiplantae, Streptophyta, Magnoliopsida, Fabales, Fabaceae. The record is from RefSeq and is a predicted model, not a curated record. The transcript is spliced from 5 exons.